Molecule: ribosomal RNA, 468 nt
Filed under: uncultured bacterium
Lineage: Bacteria
Description: partial 16S ribosomal RNA
Rfam family: Bacterial small subunit ribosomal RNA
Source: RNAcentral
GACGAACGCUGGCGGCGUGCUUAACACAUGCAAGUCGAACGGAAAGGCCCUGCUUUUGUGGGGUGCCCGAGUGGCGAACGGGUGAGUAACACGUGAGUAACCUGCCCUUGACUUUGGGACAACUUCAGGAAACUGGGGCUAAUACCGGAUAGGAGCUCCUGCUGCAUGGGGGGGGUUGGACAGUUUCGGCGGUUGGGGAUGGACUCGCGGCUUAUCAGCUUGUUGGUGGGGUAGUGGCUUACCAAGGCUUUGACGGGUAGCCGGCCUGAGAGGGUGACCGGCCACAUUGGGACUGAGAUACGGCCCAGACUCCUACGGGAGGCAGAAGUGGGGAAUAUUGCACAAUGGGCGGAAGCCUGAUGCAGCAACGCCGCGUGCGGGAUGACGGCCUUCGGGUUGUAAACCGCUUUCGCCUGUGACGAAGCGUGAGUGACGGUAAUGGGUAAAGAAGCACCGGCUAACUACGUG